AACGAACGCUGGCGGCAUGCCUAACACAUGCAAGUCGAACGAGACCUUCGGGUCUCGUGGCGCACGGGUGCGUAACGCGUGGGAACCUGCCCUUAGGUUCGGAAUAACUCCCCGAAAGGGGUGCUAAUACCGGAUAAUGUCUUCGGACCAAAGAUUUAUCGCCUUUGGAUGGGCCCGCGUUGGAUUAGCUAGUUGGUAGGGUAAAAGCCUACCAAGGCGACGAUCCAUAGCUGGUAUGAGAGGAUGAGCAGCCACACUGGGACUGAGACACGGCCCAGACUACUACGGGAGGCAGCAGUGGGGAAUAUUGGACAAUGGGCGAAAGCAUGAUCCAGCAAUGCCGCGUGAGUGAUGAAGGCCUUAGGGUUGUAAAGCUCUUUUACCCGGGAUGAUAAUGACAGUACCGGGAGAAUAAGCUCCGGCUAACUCCGUG
This 433-nucleotide ribosomal RNA is filed under the name uncultured bacterium. RNAcentral's name for it is "partial 16S ribosomal RNA". It matches the Rfam family "Bacterial small subunit ribosomal RNA", at positions 29 to 507 of the family's 1533-position model. The record is from RNAcentral.